Long non-coding RNA from Phyllostomus hastatus (greater spear-nosed bat), 738 nucleotides. RefSeq lists it as uncharacterized. The record is from RefSeq and is a predicted model, not a curated record. The transcript is spliced from 2 exons. NCBI's taxonomy places the organism in Eukaryota, Metazoa, Chordata, Mammalia, Chiroptera, Phyllostomidae.
GUCAGGAGUGGCUGAAGCUGAGCGUAGAUGGCUUGCUGGUGGGGGCCAACAGCGCAUGCCCAUGGGUGAGGAAGCGCCGGGUACUCGUCUGCUGGCGCAGGCGCACAGGACGUGCUUGCAGCCACGUAUGGGGAGGAGCGUGCCCUUGCAGAUGAGUAAACUGAGGCCCAAAGAGGCAGAGGGACGUGUCUGAAGCCGCACAGCUACAGCAAGUGUGGACCUGGCCUGCAAACGUGGGCCAGGAGUUUCCCGCUCCGCCCCAUAGCGACAGUGGACGCGUGGCGAGUAGUUCUUAAAAAUCGCUCCCCUGAAUGCCUUGAAGUGGAGGCACUGGACUUUGUCUGGAUCCUUAGACCUGAUUCUCCUCGUCCCACCAAAAAGGGCCUCCUUCUUGGGGUGGGGGGGCCUUCCACGAACUUCUCUACAAUGUGGGGGGAGGUGGACAUCAAUGACGCUACCGCAAGGAGCCUUAACCAAUGUCAGACCCUUUCUCCAAACACAAGCCAGAGACUGGGCCCCGUCUGGGGCGGAAUGCCCUGUGCAGGCCCGGCCACCCUGACCAGUGGGGAUCAGGUUCACUUCACCCCUUGUGCAUGUGGAGAGGCCCCAAGGUCAUGGACCUGGGGUGACAAUGAGCACUGUCCACACCCAGAAGCUGAGAUCAGCUUUUGGGGUGCCCUUUCUUCAGCCAUUUACUAGUUUCCUAUAAUAAUGGUAAUAAUAACUACCCCAGCCUAA